CACGCUGUCUGAUCCGCCAAACCUCAGCAACCUGGAGGAGUUCCCUCCCGUAGGCUCGGUUUCCCCCGGCCCUACAGGCAGGACGAAGCCUUCUCGCAGGAUCAACCCAACUCCGGUGAGCGAAGAGCGGUCACUCUCCAAGCCCAAGACCUGCUUCACCUCACCCCCAAUCAGCUGUGUCCCCAGUUCCCAACCCUCAGUCCUGGACACUAGCCCUUGGGGCCUUGGCCUUCCCCCAGGGUGCAGAAGUCUGCAAGAGGAGCGAGAGAUGCUCAGGAAGGAGCGCUCUAAGCAGCUGCAGCAGUCACCUACCCCCACCUGUCCCACCCCAGAAUUGGGGUCGCCCCUCCCCAGACGGACAGGAAGCCUCACAGAUGAACCUGCGGACCCUGCCAGAGUGUCUUCCCGCCAGCGCCUGGAGCUUGUAGCCCUUGUUUACUCCUCGUGCAUUGCUGAGAACCUGGUACCAAACCUCUUCUUGGAGCUUUUCUUCGUCUUUCAGCUCCUCACUGCCCGGAGGAUGGUGACUGCCAAGGACAGUGACCCUGAACUAAGUCCAGCUGUCCUAGAUUCCCUGGAAAGUCCACUGUUCCAAAGCAUCCACGAUUGUGUCUUCUUUGCAGUGCAGGUUUUGGAGUGUCACUUUCAGUCUCUCUGGUGAUGCCUCCCUCUACUCAAGCUGUCUCCUUUCAGCCAGAGACUGACAAUCGUGCCAACUUCUCCAGUGACCGAGCCUUUCAUACUUUUAAGAAACAGAGGGAUGUGUUUUAUGAGGUGCUGCGAGAGUGGGAAGAUCACCAUGAGGAGCCUGGCUGGGAUUUUGAGAAGGGCUUGGGCAGCAGAAUCAGGGCCAUGAUGGGUCAGCUCUC
Molecule: long non-coding RNA, 869 nt
Filed under: Pan troglodytes (chimpanzee)
Lineage: Eukaryota; Metazoa; Chordata; Mammalia; Primates; Hominidae
Description: long non-coding RNA NONPTRT005607
Source: RNAcentral